GACGAACGCUGGCGGCGUGCUUAACACAUGCAAGUCGAACGGAAAGGCCCUGCUUUUGUGGGGUGCUCGAGUGGCGAACGGGUGAGUAACACGUGAGUUACCUGCCCUUGUCUUUGGGAUAACUUCAGGAAACUGUGGCUAAUACUGUAUAGGAGCUCCUGCUGCAUGGUGGUGGUUGGAAAGUUUCGGCGGUUGGGGAUGGACUCGCGGCUUAUCAGCUUGUUGGUGGGGUAGUGUCUUACCAAGGCUUUGACGGGUAGCCGGCCUGAGAGGGUGACCGGCCAAAUGGGGACUGAGAGACGGCCAAGACUCCUAUGGGAGGAAGAAGUGGGGAAUAUUGCACAAUGGGCGGAAGCCGGAGGAGACAACGCCGGGUGCGGGAGGACGGCUUUCGGGUUGUAAACCGCUUUCGCCUGUGACGAAGCGUGUGUGACGGUAAUGGGUGAAGAAGCACCGGCUAACUACGUG
RNAcentral lists this ribosomal RNA (468 nucleotides) under uncultured bacterium. RNAcentral's name for it is "partial 16S ribosomal RNA". It matches the Rfam family "Bacterial small subunit ribosomal RNA", at positions 28 to 507 of the family's 1533-position model. The record is from RNAcentral.